UGUUAUCCUGAUUCCUUGCCUGAUGUGUGAUGCGAAAGAUAGAAGUUACAUAUCUCAAUUCGUGUUAUCUCAGAUCUGUGUCGGAUGUAAUGGGAUUAUUUGGUAAUUAGGUAUAAGUGACACUUGUAUUGCCUGAAGGGGUUUACUCACGGAUGGAGCUCCUAGUCCAUUAAUUACCUUUUCUAAUGUUUAACGCAUUUCUUGNACUUGUAUUGCCUGAAGGGGUUUACUCACGGAUGGAGCUCCUAGUCCAUUAAUUACCUUUUCUAAUGUUUAACGCAUUUCUUGGUGAUUGUUUUAAUUUUCCC
Molecule: long non-coding RNA, 308 nt
Filed under: Olea europaea (common olive)
Lineage: Eukaryota; Viridiplantae; Streptophyta; Magnoliopsida; Lamiales; Oleaceae
Description: long non-coding RNA (OEUR_LNC004066)
Source: RNAcentral